This 349-nucleotide long non-coding RNA is filed under the name Chrysolophus pictus (golden pheasant). RNAcentral's name for it is "lncRNA (ENSCPIG00010004857.1)". The record is from RNAcentral. Lineage: Eukaryota; Metazoa; Chordata; Aves; Galliformes; Phasianidae.
GCAGCUCUCCCUGAAGCUUCUGGUCUUGGGCUGGAUGGAGACUGAGGGGUGGAAGGCUCUCGGGACCCCCGAUCAGCUGCCCGAGCAGCAGGUUCGGCAUAGCAGGCACCGUGAACGUGACUGGGGACGAGGUGAAGAAGCUGGACGUCUUGUCCAACUCCCUGGUGAUCAACAUGCUGCAGUCCUCCUACAGCACCUGCGUGCUGGUGACGGAGGAGAACAAGGACGCCCUCAUCACCCCUAAGGAGAAGCGGGGUAAAUAUGUGGUAUGCUUCGACCCUCUGGAUGGCUCAUCCAAUAUAGACUGCUUGGCACCCAUAGGAACGAUAUUCGCUAUCUACAAAAAGGU